CUUAGCUCCCAGGGUGCACAGCUGGACAUUUGGGGGUCUUCUGUCAGCAGGGACAGCGUGAAUGGGGGCAAUGGCAUCUCCAGGCCGCAUCCUGGCCCUCUGCAUGUGUCUCCUCACCAUGGCCAGUGCAGAAGGUCCACAGGAACCCGAUCCAUUCACCUACGAUUACCACACCCUGAGGAUC
Non-coding RNA from Cricetulus griseus (Chinese hamster), 184 nucleotides. The record is from RefSeq and is a predicted model, not a curated record. NCBI's taxonomy places the organism in Eukaryota, Metazoa, Chordata, Mammalia, Rodentia, Cricetidae.